UAGGGAAUCUUCGGCAAUGGGGGGAACCCUGACCGAGCAACGCCGCGUGAGUGAAGAAGGAUUUCGGUUCGUAAAACUCUGUUGUUAGAGAAGAACAGCGCAUAGAGUAACUGUUAUGCGUGUGACGGUAUCUAACCAGAAAGCCACGGCUAACUACGUGCCAGCAGCCGCGGUAAUACGUAGGUGGCAAGCGUUGUCCGGAUUUAUUGGGCGUAAAGCGAGCGCAGGCGGUCAAUUAAGUCUGAUGUGAAAGCCCCCGGCUCAACCGGGGAGGGUCAUUGGAAACUGGUUGACUUGAGUGCAGAAGAGGAGAGUGGAAUUCCAUGUGUAGCGGUGAAAUGCGUAGAUAUAUGGAGGAACACCGGUGGCGAAAGCGGCUCUCUGGUCUGUAACUGACGCUGAGGCUCGAAAGCGUGGGGAGCGAACAGG
Molecule: ribosomal RNA, 429 nt
Filed under: Bacteroidota bacterium
Lineage: Bacteria; Pseudomonadati; Bacteroidota
Description: Bacteroidetes bacterium partial 16S ribosomal RNA
Rfam family: Bacterial small subunit ribosomal RNA
Source: RNAcentral